RNAcentral lists this ribosomal RNA (899 nucleotides) under Aquadictyospora clematidis. RNAcentral's name for it is "SSU rRNA". It matches the Rfam family "Eukaryotic small subunit ribosomal RNA", at positions 174 to 1085 of the family's 1831-position model. The record is from RNAcentral. Lineage: Eukaryota; Fungi; Ascomycota; Dothideomycetes; Pleosporales; Dictyosporiaceae.
AAAACCCCGACUUCGGGAGGGGUGUGUUUAUUAGAUAAAAAACCAACGCCCUUCGGGGCUCCUUGGUGAUUCAUGAUAACCUCUCAGAUCGCACGGCCUUGCGCCGGCGACGGUUCAUUCAAAUUUCUGCCCUAUCAACUUUCGAUGGUAAGGUAUUGGCUUACCAUGNUUUCAACGGGUAACGGGGAAUUAGGGUUCGAUUCCGNAGAGUGAGCCUGAGAAACGGCUCACACAUCCAAGGAAGGCAGCAGGCGCGCAAAUUACCCAAUCCCGACACGGGGAGGUAGUGACAAUAAAUACUGAUACAGGGCUCUUUUGGGUCUUGUAAUUGGAAUGAGUACAAUUUAAACCUCUUAACGAGGAACAAUUGGAGGGCAAGUCUGGUGCCAGCAGCCGCGGUAAUUCCAGCUCCAAUAGCGUAUAUUAAAGUUGUUGCAGUUAAAAAGCUCGUAGUUGAAUCUUUGGCCUGGCUGGCGGGUCCGCCUCACCGCGUGCACUUGUCCGGCCGGGCCUUCUCUUCUGGAGAACCGCAUGCCCUUCACUGGGCGUGUUGGGGACCAGGACUUUUACUUUGAAAAAAUUAGAGUGUUCAAAGCAGGCCUUUGCUCGAAUACGUUAGCAUGGAAUAAUAGAAUAGGACGUGCGGUCCUAUUUUGUUGGUUUCUAGGACCGCCGUAAUGAUUAAUAGGGACAGUCGGGGGCAUCAGUAUUCAAUUGUCAGAGGUGAAAUUCUUGGAUUUAUUGAAGACUAACUACUGCGAAAGCAUUUGCCAAGGAUGUUUUCAUUAAUCAGUGAACGAAAGUUAGGGGAUCGAAGACGAUCAGAUACCGUCGUAGUCUUAACCAUAAACUAUGCCGACUAGGGAUCGGGCGGUGUUAUCGAUUUGACCCGCUCGGCA